Molecule: long non-coding RNA, 232 nt
Filed under: Gossypium raimondii (Peruvian cotton)
Lineage: Eukaryota; Viridiplantae; Streptophyta; Magnoliopsida; Malvales; Malvaceae
Description: long non-coding RNA (GRAI_LNC007728)
Source: RNAcentral
AAAUAAGCAACCUAAGCAUGUAUAAUGAAGGAUAUCCCAAAUCGAUCACUAUGGGCCAAUCGAGGGUCAUAACCGCCGGUUAUCAAAGCAUUAACAUCGCAUCCAAAAAGGAGAUUGGUGAGGAGAACACACUUGGAAGUGUUCUGAAUAGUGGGACUGCGAAAAAGAUUCUUGUAUUUUUUAGAGCUAAUUCAGAGUAAUGACCAAAACACGCUUAUUGCUCUAAGCCUAG